Dromaius novaehollandiae (emu) is the source of this 557-nucleotide long non-coding RNA. RefSeq lists it as uncharacterized. The record is from RefSeq and is a predicted model, not a curated record. The transcript has 2 exons. NCBI's taxonomy places the organism in Eukaryota, Metazoa, Chordata, Aves, Casuariiformes, Dromaiidae.
CCGCCGUAACCGCCGUAACCGCCGCCGGGGCGCGCGGCCGCCGCGCUGGGCGCGGCCGCCCGGGCGGAGGGAAUCGUGUGUUGGCCGGACCCCUGCGCCGUGGCCGCCUCCCGCCGCUCCUAGAGCCGGCACCGCGUUCUCCGCCGGGCUUUCCCUUCCCUCUGGUGGACGGGAGACAUGGGAGGGGAACGCCGACGCGUGUUCUCUCGGCAGCCGCCCACGCGCGGGGCCGGGCAGAAAGGCGCGGGCCGCGUUCGUGCCGCCGCGCGGCUUCCUGCACAAGCCGGGCUUUGUAGAAGCAGCGAGGCGCCUUUGCCAGAGGCGCUGCAGCGUCAGUGUCCUUCACCUGACAAGCAGGCAGGGGUUGUUUCCUCUGCACAGAACAGUUCCCCUCCUGCGCUACCCCAGAGCGUGGCUGCACUCACUCUGCCACCUGAACGCUCUUGGCACCAGCUAUAUCUCUCUGAUCAGUAACUGCCUGAGUGUGACGUACAUUGAAAAUAAUAUUGCCUGUGCCAGCAAAGCUAUGUUACUGCAAAUGAACGUGAGUCACAGAG